GGCGUAGUUCAAUUGGUAGAGCGUCGGUCUCCAAAACCGAAUGUUGGGGGUUCGAGUCCCUCCGCCC
This 67-nucleotide transfer RNA is filed under the name Plesiomonas shigelloides. It matches the Rfam family "tRNA". From Rfam's summary of the family: Transfer RNA (tRNA) molecules are approximately 80 nucleotides in length. Their secondary structure includes four short double-helical elements and three loops (D, anti-codon, and T loops). The record is from RNAcentral. Lineage: Bacteria; Pseudomonadati; Pseudomonadota; Gammaproteobacteria; Enterobacterales; Enterobacteriaceae.